Non-coding RNA from Pelobates cultripes (western spadefoot toad), 250 nucleotides. The record is from the annotation of a GenBank genome assembly. Lineage: Eukaryota; Metazoa; Chordata; Amphibia; Anura; Pelobatidae.
CUUAGAAAGAAUGAAUAGGUACGGGUAACUUAACGUGACAUUAAUGUGACAUUUAAUGCUGGAAGAGGGAAGUGAAGACCAGAUGAAACAGGAAGGAGAGGAAUUUUGGAGUUAGCUUGAGAAAUUUGUAGAUGCAAGGAAUAGCCUUCCAGCAGAUGUGGUUGGAAGAAAUUGAGAAAGCUGGGUGCGACACAAUGCUGUCCUGAACAGGGAAUGAAAUACAAACUGCACUGUGAGCAGUGAUGCUGAC